This 361-nucleotide ribosomal RNA is filed under the name uncultured soil bacterium. RNAcentral describes it as "bacterial SSU rRNA". It matches the Rfam family "Bacterial small subunit ribosomal RNA", at positions 26 to 387 of the family's 1533-position model. The record is from RNAcentral.
AGAUUGAACGCUGGCGGCAGGCCUAACACAUGCAAGUCGAGCGGUAGAGAGGUGCUUGCAUCUCUUGAGAGCGGCGGACGGGUGAGUAAUGCCUAGGAAUCUGCCUAGUGGUGGGGGAUAACGUUCGGAAACGGACGCUAAUACCGCAGUACGUCCUACGGGAGAAAGCGGGGGACCUUCGGGCCUCGCGCCAUUAGAUGAGCCUAGGUCGAUUGCUAGUUGGUGAGUAAUGGCUCACCAAGGCGACGAUCCGUAACUGGUCUGAGAGGAUGAUCAGUCACACUGGAACUGAGACACGGUCCAGACCUCCGUACGGGAGCAGACAGUGGGAAUAGUUAGGACAAGUGGACGAAAGCCUAGA